RNAcentral lists this ribosomal RNA (229 nucleotides) under uncultured bacterium. RNAcentral describes it as "partial 16S ribosomal RNA". It matches the Rfam family "Bacterial small subunit ribosomal RNA", at positions 524 to 752 of the family's 1533-position model. The record is from RNAcentral.
UACGUAGGGUGCGAGCGUUAAUCGGAAUACUGGGCGUAAAGCGUGCGCAGGCGGUUUGCUAAGACCGAUGUGAAAUCCCCGGGCUUAACCUGGGAACUGCAUUGGUGACUGGCAGGCUAGAGUAUGGCAGAGGGGGGGUAGAAUUCCACGUGUAGCAGUGAAAUGCGUAGAGAUGUGGAGGAAUACCGAUGGCGAAGGCAGCCCCCUGGGCCAAUACUGACGCUCAUGC